This 397-nucleotide long non-coding RNA is filed under the name Brachypodium distachyon (stiff brome). Its description in RNAcentral is "long non-coding RNA (BDIS_LNC005167)". Lineage: Eukaryota; Viridiplantae; Streptophyta; Magnoliopsida; Poales; Poaceae. The record is from RNAcentral.
AGAAGGCAUAAAGUGGCAGCAUUCGUUCGAUCAACAUAUAUUGAGAUAUAUUAAACUGUGCAUGCAUGCAUGGCUGUCAACCAAAGAAGCCAAAUAUAUAUGUGAUUCUCCGAGACCUGUAUUAGUUUGCAGCAAUUAAAUUACGCUAAUCUUCUCACAGAAGCUAAUCAAGAAACAUAGGUAAUUAGUUGCUAUGAGAAAGCUCAGGACACGUACAGUACUUUCCGUAGCAGUAGCCGCCGAAAAGGAUACUCCAAUAUGAGAUCGAUCCUCCCAACUAGCUAUAUUUCUACUGGUAAAACUAAAAAGUGUGGUCGUAUAAUUUUCUCCAGGCAAAUACAUGGAAGAUUCUGAACCAUUUAACAGCAACCAACCGGGGGCUUGAACUGGCUGUUGC